This 791-nucleotide ribosomal RNA is filed under the name uncultured archaeon. RNAcentral's name for it is "bacterial SSU rRNA". It matches the Rfam family "Archaeal small subunit ribosomal RNA", at positions 85 to 879 of the family's 1478-position model. The record is from RNAcentral.
ACGGCUCAGUAACACGUCGGUAACCUGCCCUAUGGUCGAGCAUAACCUCGGGAAACUGAGGGUAAUUCUCGAUAGAUGAUUUCACCUGGAAUGGUAUUUCAUCCAAACACGUGCCAUAGGAUGGGCCGGCGGCUGAUUAGGCUGUUGGUGGGGUAACGGCCCACCAAACCAAAGAUCAGUACGGGCCUUGAGAGAGGUAGCCCGGAGAGGGACACUGAGAUACGGGUCCCAGCCCCACGGGGUGCAGCAGGCGCGAAACCUUUACAAUGCACGAAAGUGUGAUAGGGGGAUACUCAGUGCUUACGCUUAUGGUGUAGGCUUUUGUCGAUCGUAAAUAGAUCGGCGAAUAAGUGGUGGGCAAGACCGGUGCCAGCCGCCGCGGUAACCCCGGCGCCACAAGUGGUUAUCACGAUUAUUGGGCCUAAAGCGUUCGUAGCCGGUCUGGUAAAUCUCUUGUGAAAUUGUUCGGCUUAACCGGACAGCGUGCAGGAGACACUACCAGGCUCGAGACCGGGAGGGGUUAGAAGUAUUCCAUGGGGACUGGUAAAAUGGGAUAAUCCAUGGAAGACUACCGAUGGCGAAGGCAUCUAACCGGAACGGAUCUGACGGUGAGGAACGAAAGCCAGGGGAGCGAACCGGAUUAGAUACCCGAGUAGUCCUGGCCGUAAACGCUGUGAGCUAGGUGCCGCGUAUCUCACGAAGAUGCGCGGUGUCGAAAUGAAGAUGCUAAGCUCACCGCCUGGGAAGUACGGUCGCAAGACUGAAACUUUAAGGAAUUGGCGGGGGAGCAC